Molecule: ribosomal RNA, 433 nt
Filed under: uncultured bacterium
Lineage: Bacteria
Description: partial 16S ribosomal RNA
Rfam family: Bacterial small subunit ribosomal RNA
Source: RNAcentral
AACGAACGCUGGCGGCAUGCCUAACACAUGCAAGUCGAACGAGACCUUCGGGUCUAGUGGCGCACGGGUGCGUAACGCGUGGGAACCUGCCCUUAGGUUCGGAAUAACUCCCCGAAAGGGGUGCUAAUACCGGAUAAUGUCUUCGGACCAAAGAUUUAUCGCCUUUGGAUGGGCCCGCGUUGGAUUAGCUAGUUGGUAGGGUAAAAGCCUACCAAGGCGACGUUCCAUGGCUGGUCGGAGAGGAUGAUCAGCCACACUGGGACUGAGACACGGCCCAGACUCCUACGGGAGGCAGCAGUGGGGAAUAUUGGACAAGGGGCGAAAGCCUGAUCCAGCAAUGCCGCGUGAGUGAGGAAGGCCUUAGGGUUGUAAAGCUCUUUUACCCGGGAUGAUAAUGACAGUACCGGGAGAAUAAGCUCCGGCUAACUCCGUG